GAGCUUGCUCCCGGAUGUUAGCGGCGGACGGGUGAGUAACACGUGGGUAACCUGCCUGUAAGACUGGGAUAACUCCGGGAAACCGGAGCUAAUACCGGAUAGUUCCUUGAACCGCAUGGUUCAAGGAUGAAAGACGGUUUCGGCUGUCACUUACAGAUGGACCCGCGGCGCAUUAGCUAGUUGGUGAGGUAACGGCUCACCAAGGCGACGAUGCGUAGCCGACCUGAGAGGGUGAUCGGCCACACUGGGACUGAGACACGGCCCAGACUCCUACGGGAGGCAGCAGUAGGGAAUCUUCCGCAAUGGACGAAAGUCUGACGGAGCAACGCCGCGUGAGUGAUGAAGGUUUUCGGAUCGUAAAGCUCUGUUGUUAGGGAAGAACAAGUGCAAGAGUAACUGCUUGCACCUUGACGGUACCUAACCAGAAAGCCACGGCUAACUACGUGCCAGCAGCCGCGGUAAUACGUAGGUGGCAAGCGUUGUCCGGAAUUAUUGGGCGUAAAGGGCUCGCAGGCGGUUUCUUAAGUCUGAUGUGAAAGCCCCCGGCUCAACCGGGGAGGGUCAUUGGAAACUGGGAAACUUGAGUGCAGAAGAGGAGAGUGGAAUUCCACGUGUAGCGGUGAAAUGCGUAGAGAUGUGGAGGAACACCAGUGGCGAAGGCGACUCUCUGGUCUGUAACUGACGCUGAGGAGCGAAAGCGUGGGGAGCGAACAGGAUUAGAUACCCUGGUAGUCCACGCCGUAAACGAUGAGUGCUAAGUGUU
This 763-nucleotide ribosomal RNA is filed under the name Bacillus aerius. Its description in RNAcentral is "bacterial SSU rRNA". It matches the Rfam family "Bacterial small subunit ribosomal RNA", at positions 76 to 824 of the family's 1533-position model. Lineage: Bacteria; Bacillati; Bacillota; Bacilli; Caryophanales; Bacillaceae. The record is from RNAcentral.